Molecule: ribosomal RNA, 564 nt
Filed under: uncultured bacterium
Lineage: Bacteria
Description: bacterial SSU rRNA
Rfam family: Bacterial small subunit ribosomal RNA
Source: RNAcentral
GGUGCGUAACACAUUGGUAACCUACCCCAAAGACGGGAAUAACCCAAGGAAACUUGGAUUAAUACCCGAUAUGCUUGACCUUCACAAGUUGGUCAAGUAAAGCUCCGGCGCUUUGGGAGGGGCCUAUGGUUUAUCAGCUUGUUGGUGGGGUAAAAGCCCACCAAGGCUACGACGAAUAGCGGGUGUGAGAGCACGACCCGCCUCACUGGGACUGAGACACUGCCCAGACUCCUACGGGAGGCUGCAGUCAAGAAUCUUCCCCAAUGCACGAAAGUGUGAGGGAGCGACGCCGCGUGAAUGAUGAAGCCCUUCGGGGUGUAAAGUUCUUUUAUUAGGGACGAACUAAUGACGGUACCUAAUGAAUAAGAGGCUGCUAAACUAGUGCCAGCAGCAGCGGUAAUACUAGUGCCCCAAGCGUUAUCCGGAUUUAUUGGGCGUAAAGCGUACGUAGGCGGUUUAUUAUGUCGGUGGUAAAAUCCCAAGGCUCAACCUUGGAUCUGCCACCGAAACUGAUAGACUAGAGGAUGGGAGAGGCAAGUGGAAUUGCUGGUGUAGGGGUAAAAU